UGGGGAAUAUUGGACAAUGGGGGCAACCCUGAUCUAGCAAUGCCGCGUGUGUGAAGAAGGCCUGCGGGUUGUAAAGCACUUUCAGUAGAGAAGAAAAGCUUAGGGUUAAUACCCCUGAGUCUUGACGUUACGUACAGAAGAAGCACUGGCUAACUCCGUGCCGGCAGCCGCGGUAAUACCGAGGGUGCAAGCGUUAAUCGGAAUUACUGGGCAUAAAGCGCGCGUAGGUGGUUGUGUAAGUCGGAUGUGAAAGCCCAGGGCUUAACCUUGGAAUUGCUUCCGAUACUGCAUGACUAGAGUAUGGUAGAGGGAAGUGGAAUUUCCGGUGUAGCGGUGAAAUGCGUAGAUAUCGGAAGGAACACCAGUGGCGAAGGCGACUUCCUGGGCCAAUACUGACACUGAGGUGCGAAAGCGUGGGGAGCAAACAGGAUUAGAUACCCGCGUAGUCC
This 449-nucleotide ribosomal RNA is filed under the name uncultured prokaryote. RNAcentral describes it as "bacterial SSU rRNA". It matches the Rfam family "Bacterial small subunit ribosomal RNA", at positions 355 to 796 of the family's 1533-position model. The record is from RNAcentral.